RNAcentral lists this ribosomal RNA (460 nucleotides) under uncultured bacterium. RNAcentral's name for it is "partial 16S ribosomal RNA". It matches the Rfam family "Bacterial small subunit ribosomal RNA", at positions 338 to 795 of the family's 1533-position model. The record is from RNAcentral.
CCUACGGGUGGCAGCAGUGAGGAAUAUUGGUCAAUGGGCGCGAGCCUGAACCAGCAAAGUAGCGUGAAGGAUGACUGCCCUACGGGUUGUAAACUUCUUUUAUAAAGGAAUAAAGUGAGGCACGUGUGCCUUUUUGUAUGUACUUUAUGAAUAAGGAUCGGCUAACUCAGUGCCAGCAGCCGCGGUACUACGGAGGGUCCGAGCGUUAUCCGGAUUUAUUGGGUUUAAAGGGAGCGUAGAUGGGUUGUUAUGUCAGUUGUGAAAGUCUGCGGCUCAACCGUCGAACUGCAUUUGAUACUGGACGCCUUGAGUACAGAACAGGCAGGCGGAAUUCGUGGUGUAGCGGUGAAAUGCAUAGAUAUCACGAAGAACCCCGAUUGCGAAGGCAGCCUACUAAACUGCCACUGACAUUGAGGCUCGAAAGUGCGGGUAUCAAACAGGAUUAGAUACCCUUGUAGUC